AUGCAUUUCUGUUCAGUUUAAUGGAUUCUAUUCCUUAUAAGAAACUUGCUUUAUAUGACCUGUAUCAGUUCCAAAGAUAUUCUAAACUAGCUAUUUUCAAUUCAAUAGCCCCUGAUUUCAAUUUAUGAACUUAUGGUAAUACACAGAAGACAUCAAAAAAUAUUAAUACUGAAGCAAUAAUAAAGGUUUAAAAGAGGAUGCUACAGCUGAUCUUAAAAAAGAAGAAUUCUCUAACAUAAACCCAUUUUUUAGAAUUUGCAACCACUUUAAAGAAGAUCAGUUUGGCUUUCCUUUAUGUCAGAAAAUGCAUUCAUGCAGAUCUAGGAAAUUCAGUUCUCACAAACAAGCAAUUCAAUCCCCAUGCAUCAAGCAGCCGACUUGGAAUAGAGCCAACACAUAGCAAAUAAUAAACUGUAAGAGGUUUUUACUAUUGUCAAGGCAUGGAAAAACUGUGAGAAACAUGAUGCAUGCCAGAAAUGCAAUAUACACAUUUUUAUGCUGACAAUGAUAGAAUUUCUGCUAUUUGUAUGACUACUUGGACAUUUUUCCAGACCAGAGAAACAUUGUUCAAAACGUCAAGACCCUGCUUCUAGUUAGGUCCAAUUAAGUCAUGUAGCCAGCUCCCUGCAUAGUAAGCCUAAUUUAAAGCUUCCUCAGCCUAUUAACUCCUCUUAAAAUCUAAAGACAAGUUUAUAUCAGAUUUGCUCCUAUACUAAGGGUGUUACUCACUUUAAUAGCCCAUCAGCACUUCUUACUUUCAUGUAUUUAUAGUAAAAAUACUUCUCUCAGAAUUUUCAUUUGGUGACAUGAGUUCAGUUUUCUGUGAGUCAAAUAAAUUAUACCAGUCACUGAAACUUAUUUUUACAUUUUUUGUGUUUAUGUUAUAUUGUGGGUCAGAUUUGUUUUUGUAAAUUGUGGUGCUCAAUCUUGCAAGGUUUCAUUAUCUGUGUGUUGGGGUUUUGCCUCCUCAUUUCUCCAGAUUACUUCUUCACUUUCCUGCUGUUAUUUAUACGUCAAUUAACAAAUUUAUGACAAACUAAGACUUUACAUAGUUUCCAUCACAAAGCCCUGAUAAUGUGUGCUUGGUGACCUUUGCUCCAAAACACUUUUUUUAUGACACAAGAGAUGAUAAUAUCAAGUCAAUUACAUAACGACCUUCAUUUUUAUAAGUUUGGAUCAUCUUUCUGUACGAAUUCAUAGCAAAGUCAACCAUGAAAACUUUAAAAUAUUACUUCUAUCUGUUUAUUGAAAUGAACAUAUAUCUAACUCCUUGUUUUGAUGCUGAAAAGAUAAAUAGAAAAAAGAAAUAUCUCAGUGGAUACAACAUAAUGACAUAAUGUAGCUGCUUAGAGAUUAAGCUAUGAAACAAUCCUCUCUGCACAUAUUUUCAAAUAAUAAUGGUACUUGUGCAGUGUUUAUUUUCCUUGCAUUCCUUAGCUGAGAGAACACAUGAAGGAAGGGCAACUAUCACAAAGGAUAAGUUUAUUUUCUUCAUAGAGUCCUUAUUAUUCAAUAAUUGUUAAUUACAAAACAGAGUACACCACUUAAACUUGUUUUAGCUAUUUGAACUCCUUAGGAGGGAACAUCCAGAUUCCCCAAAAUGUAGUUCUGGGAACAGGGAAAGAAAUUGAGAGCCUCUGUCAUUUUUUUAUAGCUAGGUGCUAGGAAUCCAUUGCUGAACCAUUAAAAUAUACCCCCUGAAAGUUCAUUUACUCCCCCGAGUGACUGCCUCAGCAGCAAAUCAAACUGCUGCACAACUUGCUCAGACCCUGCAAGUUCGUAUUAAUGAAUUAUUAAUACAGUACUAAAUAAAUUAAACACAAUUAUAUUUCAAAGUACAUAAACAUUAUGCACAGCAAAGAAACUGCACACAUCCACAUCCAUGGGAUUUUUGAUUACUUUGGCUCUUACAAGUGGCAUGUGUUGAGCCACAUUUAUCAGAAUGCUCAAAGUAAAUCACUUAAAGUUUGUACAUGGCACCUUUUCAAGGUAGGUAGUUCAAAAUCCAGCUCAACAGGAGGCUAAGGUUACCUUAUAUAAUCUACACUAAGCAUAAGUAUGUUCAUGGGAUGUGUUUGAGGUCACUAACACAUACUCUUGCACUGGGUCUUCAAACAGUCCUCAUGGAGGAGUCCAGGCUUCUUUCACCAGCUCUCAGCCUUCAGCACCAGCUGCAGGCUCCAGCCUUCUGGCUCAUAUUGUCAUAGGUGGAGUUCUGGAAUAAUUGCUGUAAGUUAUUGCUUGCCUGUUAUCAAAACUUUAUUCUCCUUUUUGUGUUCUGCUUCAGAACAGGGCCACCACUACCACAAGUCACCACUGCAAAGCAACAGUGAUAAAUGAUGUAAAACCAGUACAGCUUCCAAAAAAUACUGCUGAAAGUUUCCCCCUGAACAACAAAAGUGAAUUAGGAACUUAAACUGAAUGAGCUUUUUAAAGUUCCCCAAACCAAAUUUUAUUACCUGAAGAGGUUUUACAUUAGGAAAGUCCUCCUGAAUAAUAAUAAAAUUAAAAUUAUACAAAUUAGUAUCAGUACAGCAAAGAAACUUGUUUCAGUAGAUUUGAAACAGUAAAAAAAAGGUUCUUGAAUCGUUAAAAUGUACACUGUCUGGUUUUUAUCUGCCAUAAAGCUCGUAACAUUAUCAUUUAGAGCAUAGCAGAAAAGUACCUAUCUACCUAUAGUAGGAAAGAAUUGUUUCCCUUGACUGAAAACUGCUAAAAUUCUGAAGCAAUCAUUAAGUUUAUUUGCUGUUAUGGGUAACAUUGGAUACAUGAUGGAAUUUUACUAGAUGUUUCUAACAACUAUAUUAAAACUUGGCCAUUUCAUUGCACUUUGAUUUUCCACUAAGAGUAAAAUGGUCAAAGAGCAUGACUGAACAGAUAUGUAAUUUGGAAGACUUUAGAAAGACAAUGUGCUUUGUUAGUGCUUUGUCAUGAGCUUUUUAGCCUGAAAACACCACUUAUGUAAGGUCCUCUCUCAAAUUCUUGAAAAGAUUUUUUUUUUCCUUUUGGCAAGUAAGAGAACACAGGAAAAAAGAAGGCAGGGGGGCAGGGGGAGGAAGAAAGCAACUAUCCCACAAAAGUAAGCACACAGAAUGUGAAAACUGGCUGUAGAAUGUAAAAGACAAAGCAAGGAGUACAGACAGACCUCUUUCCAUUCCUCUUUCUGGCCAGACAGGCUCCCUAUAUCUCAUUUAAUGGCCUCAUUAGUGUAAUCUGAGUCUACUGUGCUGGUCUAAUUUCCUAGAAAGACUCAGCUACCAUUCUGCAAAUGGAUACAGACUCGGAUGGUUGGUAAAACCUGGCUCAGUUUAUAGCAACGCGGAGGCAAAAUUCCCACAUCCAUUCUAGGGCUUCCUGCAAACAUGCUGAAAGCCGAAAAUGGCAUCAGCAUACAUCAACACAGAUACGAAUGGCAGCAUUUUCUUGAAAAGGUUCACCUGUUAGUUUCAAAAAGAAUUUUGCUCCUUCCAGUAUAUUACUGAAUUUUUGUAUCUGAAAAAAAUUGUUUACUAAUGACAUCCAUUAAAAAAGCCACAGAAGCAGAACAUGCCUGUAGAACUGAAAUGAGAGUUCAAUACCAAUUACUCCAUUCAGUUCAACAGCCUGAAACACAAUGCUGUGUUGCUACAAGAGACUUUCAGGCUGUCAGGCUCAUGGACAAAGUUCACUAUCUGCUUCCCAGUGAACAUGAGAGCAUGAGAAGGAAAUUGAGAAUAUGUUAGAACACUUCACACCAUGAUGGCAUUUAAAAUUACAUUUGUUCAUUUUUCAGUUGGUUGGUUGGUUGUUUUUUUUUGUUGUUGUUUUUGUUUUAGUGGAGAUUCAAUUACUUAGAAAGUUAUUUAUUUGAUUUUUUUUACAGAUUGCCAUGUGCUCUGGGAUGACCCUACUUGAGCAGGGAGGUUGGACUGGAUGACUCACUGUGGUCCCUUCCAACCAAUAGUUUAAUACAGAAUUGCUUCCUAUCACGAGUGAAAGACAAAUGGAAAAGAGAUUGUGAAAGAAACUUGGAAAACAGACAAGAAGAAAACAGCUGUUUCAGUCCAGACCACCAGAGACACUGUACUUCGUCAGCACUAUGGAAUGACAUUCAGCUUCAAAAAUUUCUGCGUUUCAUCCUUCCCAGUCACAGAGUAGGAAUAAAUAAUUUAAUCAAGUAUGCAUCAGGAGAGGGGAAUAUCCUAUUAGUCUGUGCCUGCAUUCCUUCCCCUUCACUUCUUUGCAUCUCUUAGAUUUCCAGAAGUGUACAUCACUCUUUUCAGCUUAGCCAAAAACACAGCUCUAUGAGUUUAAGAAAACAAAAGCAAUUAAUAUCUUCAAAUUCGUGUACAACUUUCUAAAACUAGAAGCAAAUACAUACCCAUUAUAAACAUAAUGCCAUAGCCUUUAGAAAAGAGCCAGAAAAUUCACAAUGUAAAAGAAGCCAGAGGAACGGCACUAAAACACCAUUUCUGGAAAAACAGUUACUUGAGACUUCUUCAAUUAGACACCCAUCUCCAUCAAAGGAUACCAGCGAGCACACAUCACCAUGAUGAAAAAAAAACAUGAAAAAAGGAUUUUGUGGCUAGUUGAUUCGCUGGUAAAUAAUUUUACAUCUCUCAAAUUACUUGUAAUAUACUAAGCUACUAUCAUUUCACACACUUGCCCAAAGAUGGGAGGAACAUUGCCCUCAAUCUGACUGAGAACUGAGAUUUUUAACAUAAAAACUUGAAGAUCAUCCUUAUUAUUUUUCUGAAGGCUGUAAUUUUGUUCUUUUUCAUCAUUCAUGAAGUAGUAUCUUCACUACAAAGAAGGAGAGAACUCUGUUUGAAUUUAGUGACAGUACAAAGAUAUAACAAGAUAAAAAAAUAAAAUAUGCCUCCAGUGACCAGAUGGAAGGAGAAUCAAGGAAAGAAAGAAAAAAUAGGUGAUCAUGAAUGUUAGGUACUCAAGUCAAAAGGACUCUCAUUAAAUUUAUAAAAUCUAAUUUAAACAAUAAUAUUUAUUAGACCACAGAAACUUCUACAAAAUAUUAUCAAAUAUUAUCCCUAAAACAUCUUAAAUCUCUUCUUGACUAUGACAGUCUUUGCCUUACAAAAAGAACUGAAAAUUGAUCACUUGAAAGACAUAAAAUAGAAUUUAAAUCAUUAAGACUGUAAAGGGAAAUUAUCAUAAAAAUUUUCAUUGGUUUUACAUCCUUAUAAAUUCUUUAAAAGUUGUGCAAGGCAUCAGUCCAGAUUUAAAGUAAAUUUUCCCACCAAAACUGAGGGUCGUACUAUUAAUGAAGUGAAUAACUUGAGAGUAAGUCAAGAGCUCUGUUUAUAAAAAGACCUGUAUAAUCUUUUUAACAAGGGAAAAUGUAGUAACUCCUUAAAAGUACAUCAGUUAACCUGCAAACAGAAAACCAAGCUUCAAGAAAUAGGCUCUGAAUCCAAAUGUAAAUUAAUAUAUUUUUCUUAAUGGAAGUGGUAUAUAAUACAGAACUCAAAAUCAUCUAACACAGAAGUCCACUAUGUCAUGUAUUUACAUGCCUGGAAAUCUCUUGAGUAGGCUAUGGAAGAAAUCCAGGCUGUGUUGAUCAAGACUAUUGUACCUAAUCCAAAAAGGAUUGCCUGCAGGCAGAGGCAAAGCAAGCUUCACUCUUUUAUCCUCUAAGACAGACCAGGAGAUCAACAGAAGUUCAACACAAGUCAGUACCACCACAACACAAAAGUUGGAGUACAACUCCUAAAGCAGAAAUACUGUAACAGAAAAGAAACUGUCUUUUCAUUGGGAUAGAAGAAAAAAAACCUACACCAUGAAAACUGAUGUAUCCUAGCCAGUAAGGGGCUCUAUUCCUGGAUGAGAUCCCUCUGACUGCUGAACCUGAGGUCCCUAUUGUCAUAAAGACCUUUCAGAUUUUGAUGGAUUUCUAUGGAAAGCAGUCACCUUCGUGUCACCCUUAAUAUGAGGCGAUUCCAAAAAUGAAGUCCCUUUGUCUCCACUGGUCUUUCUAUGGACAUGUUUGUCUAAGUAGUGCUUUCACUUUAUUUUCCUCAUUAAGUACCACUUCACUGUGCCAGCUGUUCAACCCCCCCUCUCUCCUUCCUCCUGCCUUGGUUGGCCUGUAUGUAAUCAAAGACAAAUCAAUACUAGAAAUACUCCAUCCAGUAAUUCAGCUCUCAGAUAAUGACCCUCUCUUUUCCCCACCAAUAUCUAGGUAGGAAAAAACCUUAAGACUUUAAAACACCCUGUGCACCAGAUGAAUAAAACCAGUAAAACUUGUCGCAAA
Molecule: non-coding RNA, 6250 nt
Organism: Cyanistes caeruleus (blue tit)
Lineage: Eukaryota; Metazoa; Chordata; Aves; Passeriformes; Paridae
Source: RefSeq, a predicted model, not a curated record